AUAGCGGAGAUUAAACGCACUCGUAAUGCGUAGGCCGGGGGUUCAAUUCCCUUCACCA
Molecule: transfer RNA, 58 nt
Filed under: Paenibacillus polymyxa
Lineage: Bacteria; Bacillati; Bacillota; Bacilli; Caryophanales; Paenibacillaceae
Also listed under: 2 other names
Description: tRNA-OTHER
Source: RNAcentral